GAGGGUAUAGCUCAAGUGGUAUAUAGCACAUGCUUAGCAUGCACGAGGUCCUGGGUUCAAUCCCCAGUACCCCCA
RNAcentral lists this transfer RNA (75 nucleotides) under Camelus bactrianus (Bactrian camel). It matches the Rfam family "tRNA". From Rfam's summary of the family: Transfer RNA (tRNA) molecules are approximately 80 nucleotides in length. Their secondary structure includes four short double-helical elements and three loops (D, anti-codon, and T loops). RNAcentral also lists the same sequence under 3 other names. The record is from Rfam by way of RNAcentral. Lineage: Eukaryota; Metazoa; Chordata; Mammalia; Artiodactyla; Camelidae.